UUGAUAAUAGGUUAGGUAAAUGUUCCAUGAUAAUGGGUUAGGUAAAUGUUUCAUGAUAAUGGGUUAGGUAAAUGUUUCAUGAUAAGAAUUUCAUAUCUUUUGUAUUAAAGAAUUAAAUGGAUGAAAUAUGAAGUUUUAUUAAAAGAAAAAGGGGUGAAAAGAACAAAGUUAUGUCCAUCUUUGUUCAUCAUAGCUGAAAGUUAGAGAAGAGAAAGGAGAGGAGAAAGCUCUUGAGUAUUCGGUCAUUAGGAGGAGGAAAAUUGAAGGAAAUCCCCAACCAUAGUGGGCUUGGAGCUGUGAGGGAAUUCGGAGUGGCCACCCGUUCUGAAAGUUUGAUUUUCUUCUGGUGAACUGGACAUCCUUUUAUUUACGUUUGAAGUUUUUGGGCUUUUAAAUGUAAUAAGGCCGCUUAAUUAUUUUUGAUGGUUUUAAUAUGUAUUACUAAGAUAGGUAAUACUUAUUUUAACUGUUGAAAUUGGAUAGUUUUAGGGCGCGUUUUCAAAAACA
Molecule: long non-coding RNA, 507 nt
Organism: Gossypium arboreum
Lineage: Eukaryota; Viridiplantae; Streptophyta; Magnoliopsida; Malvales; Malvaceae
Exons: 2
Source: RefSeq, a predicted model, not a curated record